GCGGAGCCAAGUAAAGAGUCUUACAGUGAUGAAUCUUCCGAUGAGCAAAGCAGCGAGUUGUCAAGUGAAGAGUCUAGCGAGCAGCCUAGUAACGAGAGUACUGAAGAGUCCAGCGAAGUGUCAAGUGAUGAAAGCAGCGUGGAGCCAAGUGAAGAGUUUUACAUUGAUGAAUCUUCCGAUGAAUAAAAAGCAUCACGAUGAUAAGCGAAGAAUCUGCUGCAUAACAAGUGGGCUGCAUAUGAAGAAAUUUGCUAAAUGCCGAUUCAAAAUAAGUCAUAGAAAAAUCUGUCACAAACGUCUUCGUAAUUUCAAAUUAUAAUAAAGUAUUCCAGCUAAAAAAUGAAGUUUCUUGUUUUUAGUCUAGCCCUUUUAGGAUUGCUACUGACUAUAGUAGCCAUAGCUAUACCAGAGAGUGAAUUCGACCGAAGAAUGUAUAAUGAGGUGGACAACGACUUUCAAGAUCUAGAUGCUCUAUUUUACCUCUAAAUGUUUUAGCCUUGCAUUAUGCUGCGGAUGAAGCUGGUUGCACUCACAUAAUUUUCCUCUAUGGACCGAAGAUUUUUAAUUAAAACAAACAAUAUGUUGCCCCGA
This is a non-coding RNA of Drosophila kikkawai, 591 nucleotides long. The record is from RefSeq and is a predicted model, not a curated record. Lineage: Eukaryota; Metazoa; Arthropoda; Insecta; Diptera; Drosophilidae.